GACGAACGCUGGCGGCGUGCCUAAUACAUGCAAGUAGAACGCACAGUUUAUACCGUAGCUUGCUACACCAUAGACUGUGAGUUGCGAACGGGUGAGUAACGCGUAGGUAACCUGCCUGGUAGCGGGGGAUAACUAUUGGAAACGAUAGCUAAUACCGCAUAAUAUUGAUUAUUGCAUGAUAAUUGAUUGAAAGAUGCUAUUGCAUCACUACCAGAUGGACCUGCGUUGUAUUAGCUAGUAGGUGAGGUAACGGCUCACCUAGGCGACGAUACAUAGCCGACCUGAGAAGGUGAUCGGCCACACUGGGACUGAGACACGGCCCAGACUCCUACGGGAGGCAGCAGUAGGGAAUCUUCGGCAAUGGACGAAAGUCUGACCGAGCAACGCCGCGUGAGUGAAGAAGGUUUUCGGAUCGUAAAGCUCUGUUGUAAGAGAAGAGCGGGUGUGAGAGUGGAAAGUUCACACUGUGACGGUAUCUUACCAGAAAGGGACGGCUAACUACGUG
This 505-nucleotide ribosomal RNA is filed under the name uncultured bacterium. RNAcentral's name for it is "partial 16S ribosomal RNA". It matches the Rfam family "Bacterial small subunit ribosomal RNA", at positions 28 to 507 of the family's 1533-position model. The record is from RNAcentral.